Molecule: ribosomal RNA, 802 nt
Filed under: uncultured Clostridia bacterium
Lineage: Bacteria; Bacillati; Bacillota; Clostridia
Description: bacterial SSU rRNA
Rfam family: Bacterial small subunit ribosomal RNA
Source: RNAcentral
GAUUCUUCGGAAUGAACUUAAGUGGAUUAGUGGCGAACGGGUGAGUAACACGUGAGUAACCUGCCUUACACAAGGGGAUAGCCUCUGGAAACGGAGAAUAAUACCCUAUAAAGUCUAAUCAGCCCAUGCUGGAAAGACCAAAGAUUUAUCGGUGUAAGAUGGACUCGCGUCUGAUUAGCUAGUUGGUGAGAUAAAAGCUCACCAAGGCGACGAUCAGUAGCCGGCUUGAGAGAGUGUACGGCCACAUUGGGACUGAGACACGGCCCAAACUCCUACGGGAGCGCACCAGUGGGGAAUUUUGCACAAUGGGGGAAACCCUGAUGCAGCGACGCCGCGUGAUUUAGAAGGCCUUCGGGUUGUAAAAAUCUUUUUUACGGGAUGAAAAUGACAGUACCGUAAGAAUAAGGUCCGGCUAAAUACGUGCCAGCAGCCGCGGUAAUACGUAUGGACCGAGCGUUGUCCGGAAUCAUUGGGCGUAAAGGGUACGUAGGCGGCCUAGUAAGUUAGAAGUUAAAGAAUAUAGCUCAACUAUAUAAAGCUUUUAAAACUGCUAGGCUUGAGAGAUGGAAGGGAAAGUGGAAUUCCUAGUGUAGCGGUGAAAUGCGCAGAUAUUAGGAAGAAUACCGGUGGCGAAGGCGACUUUCUGGUCAUCAUCUGACGCUGAGGUACGAAAGCGUGGGUAGCAAACAGGAUUAGAUACCCUGGUAGUCCACGCUGUAAACGAUGAGUGUUAGGUUCUUGGAAUAAUCUGGGAGCCGCAGCUAACGCAUUAAACACUCCGCCUGGGGAGUACCACGCAAGU